Long non-coding RNA from Cercocebus atys (sooty mangabey), 3545 nucleotides. RefSeq lists it as uncharacterized. The record is from RefSeq and is a predicted model, not a curated record. The transcript is spliced from 4 exons. Lineage: Eukaryota; Metazoa; Chordata; Mammalia; Primates; Cercopithecidae.
CUUGGAUUUUCAUCUCUGAGACCCUGACUCUGUAGUGAUUCAGGCUGGCAUUAUAUCAACCCACCUGCUUCUGGAAGGGAGAGGAAAAAAAUCAGAAUCGCUCAACCUGCACAUUGCUGUCAGCUUGUGAUUACGUGAAUGCGUGGAAGACCAGGAAAGAGAAAAGACACGAUCACAGACCACAGAGAUAAAGACAAGAGGAGGCAUUGCAGGGUUACUCCUAAUGCUAAGUAUCUGAGAAUUAAACCUCCCAGACAAGCAGGAAGGCUUCAACUGCUGGGAAUAUUCACACCUUUUUGGAUGACUAAUUACUUCAGUUGGAAAGCUCAAAAGAAGGACAAAGAAGAGAAGAGAGGAGGAAUGAGAAGUGGUUCCAGCUCUAGGAACCUCAAUCAAGCCACAAGUCUGCAUGGAUCGUUCCCUAUUGCUCUAGUGUGUACUAAGCAAUCAUUCCUUUGAAUGAAUUGUUAGUAUUAAAAUCAUUCACCUUCAACAAAUAGCACUGCUUCAUUUUUACUGAUCUUUUUACAUAUACAUUGUCCAAGUGUUAUGCUGAAUCUUAUGAAAUUGCCAACAUCCUACCAUUUUUGACCUACAAAAACAGCAUUUCAAUAAGAUUCAACAUAAUAGAAUGAGCAUCUCUCGAAGGCAGGUAUCACAUCUAAUGUAGCUUUGCUACUACUAGCUUCUGACUGAUUAAAUAUCUGUUCAUGACUGAUGAUUAUACAGAACUCUUACUUAAACAGAUAGAGGAUAGACACAAUGGCUUAUGUUCCUCAGCCCAUUGGAUAUAUUUUAGAAAUGUCCCUGGGCUUCAGUAUCUCUGCAAAAAAGCAUCACUUCAAUGGUCUCAAUCCCCUUUUUUUAAACUUCAAUAGAGAACUUUACCCAUCAAAGCUUCCACCCAAAGGACUAUAACAUAUGAAGUAGUAAAUUUUAAAAAUUUGGAACCAAGGCGUUAAAAAAAGAAAAACUCAUAAUAAGCUACCACUUAACUGUGUUAUAGGAACCAUGCUAAACACUUUAUUAUAAUAUCAAAAUGAGUCUUUUUAACACUCCUGUGGGGAGAAAAAAUAAUACCCUUAUUUCACAGUAAAGGAGGUUAUCGCAUUCAAUAGUUGAGUAGAUUGACCAAUGUAAGUGGAAGAGUCAGAAUGAAAACCUAGGUGUGCCUGACACAAAGUCUGUGUGGUUAACCACUCUGUUAUACUACAUCAUCUCUGCCAAGCAGGCAUCAAGGGCUUUGCUCCCUGUAAAAAGAAGUCAUUAAAGGUGUCAUGAAAACAGGCAUCCCACACUAAUUUGGUAUCUGGCAUCUAUUUUCUCCAGCAUGCCUAAAAGCCAAGAGCUGAACUUGCUCUCCUGAAGAAACCAGGGAGUUAAGGAUCUCUGGUGUAAACAGCCACUUUCCACGGGGUAGGCAGCCUCUCUCAGCCUAAGUCUUACUAAAUACAGCUGGGCAGGACAGGGCCAGAACAGACAAACCUUAUACUACACAGAAAGGCCAACAAAAAGGGAAUGGUACUCUAAAAAUGCCAGCAUUGAAAAUCACGGAAAAAUUAUACAAACCUUAAAUGAUUCUAAGCUCUGUUUUUCUUUCUCAAAGCACUUAGAUUCAGGUACUCACACUACUACAUAAGAAAUCUGGCUGAACAAAAUGAACAGCAACAACAACGACAACACAAAACGAUCUUUUCCGUACUGGGGUGAGUUACUGAGGGUUUCUACAGCCUUCUCUGAAGAGCUGAGAGAGUAAUUUUUCUCUCCCAGAUGAUUUGCUUUUGGCUUUGGUCUUUUUACCUCAGUGCAAGCAAGUGGAUAGGUGACCCUUCAGGGUUAUUCCAUAAGCCCUCAUGAUCUGUGUUCAGAUGAUAAAUCAAAACAAAGACAGUUCAGAGCUUCACUAGAGCUCUUUAGUGGCAGCCAUAAUUAGCAUAGCUCUCUCAAGACCUGGCAGAUGCCAGGUGUCAAGGCAUCCUUAUUUUUAGAACAUUGGAGGUGGUUGCCCCCAAAAAGGAUGUAGACAGAAAGAGGAGCUGACAAUGUCAAGGGCAACUUCAAACACAUAGCAACACAACUAAAAUAUUGAUCAUGCAAACAUAGGGACUGUAUAACUUUACAUUUGGCAGCCAUUACCACUAAGCUGUCUCUCCCAUCUCAUAGAACUCCUAUGGAUAGUAGAACAUUUUAGAAGACAAAAAGUGAGAAAUAUGCAUUAUUUUCUUUAUGUCAGAGGAAGUCCUGGUAGGUGUUUGCAUUAUUUUGUGAGAAAUAGGCAGUCAUAUUAAAAUAUUAUUUGUUUCAAUGCUUGUCACUAUUCAGCUGAGCGGUCUUCCAUUUUUAAAAAAUAUGCCCUUGAUCCCAUUUGCUUUCACCUGUCUCUCAAUUUCCACAAGAUUCUAGUUGUCACCAACAUCAUAUACCCAUUUUCACUUCUAUCUCUACCUAAACCCAUACCCUGACUAUGGGAAAUUACUACUCUGGGUAUUCGGACAUAUUUCUUCAACUUUUCUGCUUCUGUCAGGUGUUAAUGACAAUGCUGCAGGCUGUGGCCCCCAAAUAACUCACUAUCAGGUUGAUGAAUUUUCACUGAAAAUACCCCUGCAGUCCUUUGCCCUAACCUAUCACUUGACAACACUUUGACUUUAUAUAUGCGUGCUUAAAUCCUUAUAUUUUCUAAUAUUUGGAUGCUAAUCUCAAGAAAGGCAAUGGAUAGGUGCAAAAUAAUUGAAAACCAUUUAAAACAUAGCCAUAGAUACAAUGGCUACAUAAAUCAUGACGUAUUGGUUCAAUGUAAUGUAUGUACUUACAUCAAAUUAUUCAACAAUUAUUUAUUGAGACAACAAUUAUUUAUUGAGAUGUGCCAUAUUUUAUGCAAGUUGUUACAGCAGAGGCAAAGAAAACUAUCUCUAUAUGGAAAUAUUCUCACAGGUAAGGAAAAGAAGCCAAAAAAAUUAAAAUAGUUAUAUAAUGCAGUAAAUGUUAUAAUGAAGGUGAGACUAGGAUGCUACGGGAGAAUAAAGGGAGUGAUCAGUACAAAAAUAAUUUAAGUAAAAAAAAUUGUAUCAAUAUUAUAAACACAUUAUGCAUGCAUAUGGACAAAUAUUAGGAAGCAAUGAGGGAAAGUGAAGUUAUGUUAAGGUGGUGGAUUUCUGGUUAGUUUUCUAUUUUUUCCUUCUAUUUUUGUAAUAAAUGAAAGUUUGGUGAGGGAACAUUAACUAAGUAAAUGGUGCCUUGUGUGAAGCAUCACUUAUAAAAUGGAUCUUACCAAACUAAUAGAAGAUACAAAAGGAAACUGACAGACUUUCUAUACACAGACACAUGAAAUUGGUGUGCAGACCAAUCCCAAUACCACUGAAAAGGCAACUCAUGAGAACUACGGGAGCUGUUUCUUCCUUAUAUUAACUAGGAUAUAUUGUCAUUAGAUGGGAAAUCAACUGUAGAAAUCAAUCAUUGUCUGGAAAAAAUCAUUAAUCACUUGACCAUGGUUAAUACAAAAUAUUGACUAAUAUGCUAAUUUCACAGAUGAUGCUAACAUUUAUCUA